GACGAACGCUGGCGGCGUGCUUAACACAUGCAAGUCGAACGGAAAGGCCCUGCUUUUGUGGGGUGCUCGAGUGGCGAACGGGUGAGUAACACGUGAGUAACCUGCCCUUGACUUUGGGAUAACUUCAGGAAACUGGGGCUAAUACCGGAUAGGAGCUCCUGCUGCAUGGUGGGGGUUGGAAAGUUUCGGCGGUUGGGGAUGGACUCGCGGCUGAUCAGCUUGUUGGUAGGGUAGUAGCAUACCAAGGCGUUGACGCGUAGCCGGUCUGAGAGGAUGACCAGCCACACUGGGACUGAGACCCGGCCCAGACUCCUACGGGAGGCAGCAGUGGGGAAUAUUGUACGAGGAGCGAAAGCCUGAUCAAGCAAUGCCGCGGGAGUGAUGAAGGCCUUAGGGUUGUAAAGCUCUUUUACCCGGGAUGAUAAUGACAGUACCGGGAGAAUAAGCACCGGCUAACUACGUG
RNAcentral lists this ribosomal RNA (463 nucleotides) under uncultured bacterium. RNAcentral's name for it is "partial 16S ribosomal RNA". It matches the Rfam family "Bacterial small subunit ribosomal RNA", at positions 28 to 507 of the family's 1533-position model. The record is from RNAcentral.